UGGGGAAUAUUGCACAAUGGGGGAAACCCUGAUGCAGCAACGCCGCGUGAAGGAAGACGGUUUUCGGAUUGUAAACUUCUUUUCUUAGUGAAGAAACAAAUGACGGUAGCUGAAAGGAAUAAGCAUCGGCUAACUACGUGCCAGCAGCCGCGGUAAUACGUAGGAUGCGAGCGUUAUCCGGAUUUACUGGGUGUAAAGGGAGCGCAGGCGGGACUGCAAGUUGGAUGUGAAAUACCGCAGCUUAACUGCGGAGCUGCAUCCAAAACUGUAGUUCUUGAGUGGAGUAGAGGCAAGCGGAAUUCCGAGUGUAGCGGUGAAAUGCGUAGAUAUUCGGAGGAACACCAGUGGCGAAGGCGGCUUGCUGGGCUCUAACUGACGCUGAGGCUCGAAAGUGUGGGGAGCAAACAGGAUUAGAUACC
This 419-nucleotide ribosomal RNA is filed under the name uncultured bacterium. Its description in RNAcentral is "bacterial SSU rRNA". It matches the Rfam family "Bacterial small subunit ribosomal RNA", at positions 355 to 786 of the family's 1533-position model. The record is from RNAcentral.